GUUUUACUGUGCUGGCCAAUCAGUAGUAAAUAUACAUUUACGUAAUUUCCUUAGACAAGGUGGCGGCGAUAAGACGUGAGCUUUAGUAAUUAGUUUAUUGUUGUUGACAGACAUAUGUACAGUGAGACAAAACGAUGACCGCAUCGACGGCGAAUCCUUCAGAGAUGAUAGUUUAUAUCUGCGUCCUUUUUGUACAAUAGAGUACAGAAUACAUCCUGAAGCUUGUGUUGGGGAGGAUUCAGUGUCUGUUGAGGCACAUGUGAAUGUGUUAUAAAGUGAGUAUCAGAAAACACAUCCAGACACUUCGACUGUCAAAGACCACACGACAGGAACAUGCUCCUCGAGACGCUGAGAAAGCACAGAAGGAAUGUCUGUGGAGGAUGUACUCAAAAAAUACACAUACUUCAGGACACCUGCUGGAGUAUGGUUGACUGGAAGUCUGUCAGUCCAGAUGUGAGGAAGACAUACAGAGUGGAGCUGGAGCUCAGCAGAUGUGUGAUGCUGUAGAUACUGUGGUCUUGGAAAGAACCAAUCUUCACAGCUUUCUAUUCAGACAAAGAGUUUGCUGGAUUCUGUUCUAUGGACUGCUACUACAGAAUGAAUGAAUGAAUUAAUGAAUGAGUGGUUUAUCUAUCUAUCUAUCCAUCUAUCUAUCCAUCUAUCUAUCUAUCUAUCUAUCUAUCUAUCCAUCCUUUUACUUGAAUUGGUGACUGAAACUGAAAG
This is a long non-coding RNA of Carassius carassius (crucian carp), 723 nucleotides long. RefSeq lists it as uncharacterized. The transcript is spliced from 4 exons. Lineage: Eukaryota; Metazoa; Chordata; Actinopteri; Cypriniformes; Cyprinidae. The record is from RefSeq and is a predicted model, not a curated record.